RNAcentral lists this ribosomal RNA (404 nucleotides) under Spinomantis sp. 2 MV-2009. RNAcentral's name for it is "partial 16S ribosomal RNA". It matches the Rfam family "Bacterial large subunit ribosomal RNA", at positions 2026 to 2597 of the family's 2925-position model. Lineage: Eukaryota; Metazoa; Chordata; Amphibia; Anura; Mantellidae. The record is from RNAcentral.
UCUCUAAUCAAUGAAACUGAUCUCUCCGUGAAGAAGCGGAGAUUUAACUAUAAGACGAGAAGACCCCAUGGAGCUUUAAACCUGACUACACCCCUAUCUAUUAUACCCUUAAAUCAACAGGGCCUUUGUCUGUCGGUUUUAGGUUGGGGUGACCGCGGAGCAUAAAUUAACCUCCAAGAUGAACUGGACUAACCCAUUAUCUAAGAUUUACACCUCAAAGAAUCAGCACACUGACAUAAAAUGAUCCGACAUUCGAUCAACGAACCAAGUUACCCUGGGGAUAACAGCGCAAUCUACUUCAAGAGCCCCUAUCGACAAGCAGGUUUACGACCUCGAUGUUGGAUCAGGGUAUCCUAGUGGUGCAACAGCUACUAAAGGUUCGUUUGUUCAACGAUUAAAACCCU